This 253-nucleotide ribosomal RNA is filed under the name uncultured bacterium. Its description in RNAcentral is "partial 16S ribosomal RNA". It matches the Rfam family "Bacterial small subunit ribosomal RNA", at positions 524 to 776 of the family's 1533-position model. The record is from RNAcentral.
UACGUAGGUGGCGAGCGUUGUCCGGAUUUACUGGGCGUAAAGAGCGCGCAGGCGGUCGAUCAAGUCUGAUGUGAAAGCCCCCGGCUCAACUGGGGAGGGUCAUUCGAUACUGGUCGACUCGAAGGCAGGAGAGGGAAGCGGAAUUCCCGGUGUAGUGGUGAAAUGCGUAGAUAUCGGGAGGAACACCAGUGGCGAAGGCGGCUUCCUGGCCUGUUCUUGACGCUGAGGCGCGAAAGCUAGGGGAGCAAACGGG